RNAcentral lists this ribosomal RNA (468 nucleotides) under uncultured bacterium. RNAcentral describes it as "partial 16S ribosomal RNA". It matches the Rfam family "Bacterial small subunit ribosomal RNA", at positions 28 to 507 of the family's 1533-position model. The record is from RNAcentral.
GACGAACGCUGGCGGCGUGCUUAACACAUGCAAGUCGAACGGAAAGGCCCUGCUUUUGUGGGGUGCUCGAGUGGCGAACGGGUGAGUAACACGUGAGUAACCUGCCCUUGACUUUGGGAUAACUUCAGGAAACUGGGGCUAAUACCGGAUAGGAGCUCCUGCUGCAUGGUGGGGGUUGGAAAGUUUCGGCGGUUGGGGAUGGACUCGCGGCUUAUCAGCUUGUUGGUGGGGUAGUGGCUUACCAAGGCUUUGGCUGGUAGCCGGCCUGAGAGGGUGACCGGCCACAUUGGGACUGAGAUACGGCCCAGACUCCUACGGGAGGCAGCAGUGGGGAAUAUUGCACAAUGGGCGGAAGCCUGAUGCAGCAACGCCGCGUGCGGGAUGACGGCCUUCGGGUUGUAAACCGCUUUCGCCUGUGACGAAGCGUGAGUGACGGUAAUGGGUAAAGAAGCACCGGCUAACUACGUG